RNAcentral lists this ribosomal RNA (250 nucleotides) under uncultured bacterium. RNAcentral describes it as "partial 16S ribosomal RNA". It matches the Rfam family "Bacterial small subunit ribosomal RNA", at positions 524 to 773 of the family's 1533-position model. The record is from RNAcentral.
UACGUAGGGUGCGAGCGUUAAUCGGAAUUACUGGGCGUAAAGCGUGCGUAGGCGGUUCGUUGUGUCUGUGGUGAAAGCCCCGGGCUUAACCUGGGAAUGGCCAUGGAAACUGGCGAGCUGGAGUGUGGCAGAGGGGGGUGGAAUUCCGCGUGUAGCAGUGAAAUGCGUAGAGAUGCGGAGGAACACCGAUGGCGAAGGCAGCCCCCUGGGCUAACACUGACGCUGAGGCACGAAAGCGUGGGGAGCAAAC